CCUACGGGGGGCUGCAGUGGGGAAUCUUGGACAAUGGGGGCAACCCUGAUCCAGCGACGCCGCGUGGGUGACGAAGGCCUUCGGGUUGUAAAGCCCUUUUCUCGGGGACGAUGAUGACGGUACCCGAGGAAUAAGCACCGGCUAACUCCGUGCCAGCAGCCGCGGUAAGACGGAGGGUGCUAGCGUUGUUCGGAAUUACUGGGCGUAAAGGGCGCGUAGGCGGCCUGGUCAGUCGGGUGUGAAAGCCCGGGGCUCAACCCCGGAACGGCACCCGA
RNAcentral lists this ribosomal RNA (275 nucleotides) under uncultured Geminicoccus sp. RNAcentral describes it as "partial 16S ribosomal RNA". It matches the Rfam family "Bacterial small subunit ribosomal RNA", at positions 338 to 630 of the family's 1533-position model. Lineage: Bacteria; Pseudomonadati; Pseudomonadota; Alphaproteobacteria; Geminicoccales; Geminicoccaceae. The record is from RNAcentral.